UUCUGGCUCAGAGCGAACGCUGGCGGCAGGCUUAACACAUGCAAGUCGAGCGGGCGUAGCAAUACGUCAGCGGCAGACGGGUGAGUAACGCGUGGGAACGUACCUUUUGGUUCGGAACAACACAGGGAAACUUGUGCUAAUACCGGAUAAGCCCUUACGGGGAAAGAUUUAUCGCCGAAAGAUCGGCCCGCGUCUGAUUAGCUAGUUGGUGAGGUAACGGCUCACCAAGGCGACGAUCAGUAGCUGGUCUGAGAGGAUGAUCAGCCACAUUGGGACUGAGACACGGCCCAAACUCCUACGGGAGGCAGCAGUGGGGAAUAUUGGACAAUGGGCGCAAGCCUGAUCCCAGCCAUGCCGCGUGAGUGAUGAAGGCCCUAGGGUUGUAAAGCUCUUUUGUGCGGGAAGAUAAUGACGGUACCGCAAGAAUAAGCCCCGGCUAACUUCGUGCCAGCCGCCGC
RNAcentral lists this ribosomal RNA (458 nucleotides) under uncultured bacterium. Its description in RNAcentral is "bacterial SSU rRNA". It matches the Rfam family "Bacterial small subunit ribosomal RNA", at positions 17 to 518 of the family's 1533-position model. The record is from RNAcentral.